GAUGAACGCUGGCGGCGUGCCUAAUACAUGCAAGUCGAGCGAACAGACGAGGAGCUUGCUCCUCUGACGUGAGGGGCGGGCGGGUGAGUAACACGUGGAUAACCCACCUAUAAGACGGAUAUAACUUGGAAAAUCGGGCUAAAAUCCGAUAGGAGAUAUUGAUCCACGGGGUGGAAUGGUAAGAUUCGGUUGUGCGGGCACUACUAGAGGCUUCCCCGCCGCAUUGUGUGGUUGUGAAGUUAACGGCUUACGAAGGCAACGAUGCGUAGCCGACGUAAGGGGGUGAUAGCCCCCAUUGGAACUGGGACACGGUCAAGACUCCUACGGGAGGACGCAGUAGGGAAUCUUCGGCAAUGGGGGAAAGCUUGACGGAGCAAGGCGGCGUGAGUGAUGAAGGUCUUGGGUUCGUAAAACUCUGUUUUUAGGGAAGAACAAAUUUGUAAGUAAAUAUGCACGUCUUGACGGUAACUAAUCAGAAAGCCACGGCUAACUACGUG
This 497-nucleotide ribosomal RNA is filed under the name uncultured bacterium. Its description in RNAcentral is "partial 16S ribosomal RNA". It matches the Rfam family "Bacterial small subunit ribosomal RNA", at positions 28 to 507 of the family's 1533-position model. The record is from RNAcentral.